GACAGCAGCCGCCGCGGGAAUACGGAGGGUGCAAGCGUUAUCCGGAUUUAUUGGGUUUAAAGGGUCCGUAGGCGGACUUAUAAGUCAGUGGUGAAAGCCUGUCGCUUAACGAUAGAACUGCCAUUGAUACUGUAAGUCUUGAGUAUAUUUGAGGUAGCUGGAAUAAGUAGUGUAGCGGUGAAAUGCAUAGAUAUUACUUAGAACACCAAUUGCGAAGGCAGGUUACCAAGAUAUAACUGACGCUGAGGGACGAAAGCGUGGGUAGCGAACAGGAUUAGAUACCCGCGUAGUCCCUGUCUCUUAUAC
This 306-nucleotide ribosomal RNA is filed under the name uncultured bacterium. RNAcentral's name for it is "partial 16S ribosomal RNA". It matches the Rfam family "Bacterial small subunit ribosomal RNA", at positions 507 to 807 of the family's 1533-position model. The record is from RNAcentral.